Molecule: unclassified non-coding RNA, 261 nt
Filed under: Hevea brasiliensis (rubber tree)
Lineage: Eukaryota; Viridiplantae; Streptophyta; Magnoliopsida; Malpighiales; Euphorbiaceae
Source: RNAcentral
GCAUACUAUGAAAGUUGUGACAAUUGCUCCUCUCCCAACAUACAACAUUCCAACAAUUGCCAAUAGGAUGACAAGGAGAACAAGCAAUGCGAGCUGGGCACCUGUACCAACAACAGCUGAAAGAAUUACUAAGUUACGAGGAGGCCGGAAAACAUCCCCAUGCACAAGUUUCCAACCAGACUCUUCACUAACAUCUCGCUCCAGAGUUUCCAGAUCAUCAUCUUCACGUGCAUAUUUAGCAUAGUCAUUUCUAAGAGUCCG